AGUGAACGCUGGCGGUAGGCCUAACACAUGCAAGUCGAACGGCAGCACAGUAAGAGCUUGCUCUUACGGGUGGCGAGUGGCGGACGGGUGAGGAAUACAUCGGAAUCUACUUUUUCGUGGGGGAUAACGUAGGGAAACUUACGCUAAUACCGCAUACGACCUACGGGUGAAAGCAGGGGAUCUUCGGACCUUGCGCGACUGAAUGAGCCGAUGUCGGAUUAGCUAGUUGGCGGGGUAAAGGCCCACCAAGGCGACGAUCCGUAGCUGGUCUGAGAGGAUGAUCAGCCACACUGGAACUGAGACACGGUCCAGACUCCUACGGGAGGCAGCAGUGGGGAUAUUGGACAAUGGGCGCAAGCCUGAUCCAGCCAUACCGCGUGGGUGAAGAAGGCCUUCGGGUUGUAAAGCCCUUUUGUUGGGAAAGAAAAGCAGCAGGUUAAUACCCCGCUGUUCUGACGGUACCCAAAGAAUAAGCACCGGCUAACUUCGUG
This 491-nucleotide ribosomal RNA is filed under the name uncultured bacterium. RNAcentral describes it as "partial 16S ribosomal RNA". It matches the Rfam family "Bacterial small subunit ribosomal RNA", at positions 29 to 507 of the family's 1533-position model. The record is from RNAcentral.